GCUGGGCAUUGGUGGCGCACGCCUUUAAUCCUAGCACUCAGGAGGCAGAGGCAGGCAGAUCUCUGAGUUCGAGGCCAGCAUGAUCUUCAGAGCGAGUGCCAGGAUAGGCUCCAAAGUUACACAGAGAAACCCUGUCUCGAAAAACCAAAAUAAUAAUAAUAAUAAUACUUUGUCGUUUUGUUUUGUUUUUCGAGACAGGGUUUCUCUGUGGAGCUUUGGAGCCUAUUCUGGCACCCGCUCUGGAGACCAGGCUGGCCUCGAACUCACAGAGAUCCAUCUGCCUCUG
This is an unclassified non-coding RNA of 286 nucleotides. It matches the Rfam family "Metazoan signal recognition particle RNA". Rfam says of the family: The signal recognition particle (SRP) is a universally conserved ribonucleoprotein. It is involved in the co-translational targeting of proteins to membranes. The eukaryotic SRP consists of a 300-nucleotide 7S RNA and six proteins: SRPs 72, 68, 54, 19, 14, and 9. The record is from Ensembl.